Molecule: ribosomal RNA, 1450 nt
Filed under: Enterobacter ludwigii
Lineage: Bacteria; Pseudomonadati; Pseudomonadota; Gammaproteobacteria; Enterobacterales; Enterobacteriaceae
Description: bacterial SSU rRNA
Rfam family: Bacterial small subunit ribosomal RNA
Source: RNAcentral
UGGCCAAGCCGGGGCCUACACAUGCAAGUCGAACGGUAGCACAGAGAGCUUGCUCUCGGGUGACGAGUGGCGGACGGGUGAGUAAUGUCUGGGAAACUGCCUGAUGGAGGGGGAUAACUACUGGAAACGGUAGCUAAUACCGCAUAACGUCGCAAGACCAAAGAGGGGGACCUUCGGGCCUCUUGCCAUCAGAUGUGCCCAGAUGGGAUUAGCUAGUAGGUGGGGUAACGGCUCACCUAGGCGACGAUCCCUAGCUGGUCUGAGAGGAUGACCAGCCACACUGGAACUGAGACACGGUCCAGACUCCUACGGGAGGCAGCAGUGGGGAAUAUUGCACAAUGGGCGCAAGCCUGAUGCAGCCAUGCCGCGUGUAUGAAGAAGGCCUUCGGGUUGUAAAGUACUUUCAGCGGGGAGGAAGGUGUUGCGGUUAAUAACCGCAGCAAUUGACGUUACCCGCAGAAGAAGCACCGGCUAACUCCGUGCCAGCAGCCGCGGUAAUACGGAGGGUGCAAGCGUUAAUCGGAAUUACUGGGCGUAAAGCGCACGCAGGCGGUCUGUCAAGUCGGAUGUGAAAUCCCCGGGCUCAACCUGGGAACUGCAUUCGAAACUGGCAGGCUAGAGUCUUGUAGAGGGGGGUAGAAUUCCAGGUGUAGCGGUGAAAUGCGUAGAGAUCUGGAGGAAUACCGGUGGCGAAGGCGGCCCCCUGGACAAAGACUGACGCUCAGGUGCGAAAGCGUGGGGAGCAAACAGGAUUAGAUACCCUGGUAGUCCACGCCGUAAACGAUGUCGACUUGGAGGUUGUGCCCUUGAGGCGUGGCUUCCGGAGCUAACGCGUUAAGUCGACCGCCUGGGGAGUACGGCCGCAAGGUUAAAACUCAAAUGAAUUGACGGGGGCCCGCACAAGCGGUGGAGCAUGUGGUUUAAUUCGAUGCAACGCGAAGAACCUUACCUACUCUUGACAUCCAGAGAACUUUCCAGAGAUGGAUUGGUGCCUUCGGGAACUCUGAGACAGGUGCUGCAUGGCUGUCGUCAGCUCGUGUUGUGAAAUGUUGGGUUAAGUCCCGCAACGAGCGCAACCCUUAUCCUUUGUUGCCAGCGGUCCGGCCGGGAACUCAAAGGAGACUGCCAGUGAUAAACUGGAGGAAGGUGGGGAUGACGUCAAGUCAUCAUGGCCCUUACGAGUAGGGCUACACACGUGCUACAAUGGCGCAUACAAAGAGAAGCGAACUCGCGAGAGCAAGCGGACCUCAUAAAGUGCGUCGUAGUCCGGAUUGGAGUCUGCAACUCGACUCCAUGAAGUCGGAAUCGCUAGUAAUCGUAGAUCAGAAUGCUACGGUGAAUACGUUCCCGGGCCUUGUACACACCGCCCGUCACACCAUGGGAGUGGGUUGCAAAAGAAGUAGGUAGCUUAACCUUCGGGAGGGCGCUUACCAACUUUGGAUCAAAGGGA